AUCAAAAGAAACUUAUACUUUAUUAAUUUAGUUGAACAACCAAACUUUGAAAUUGAAUAAUUUGAAAGCAAAACAUGACUUGAACUUACAAACAUAUGACUGAUUUGCAUGCAUGAAGGGACCACAUACUCAUCAACAUGUUUGAUAUUUAUUAAAAUAUAACGUAUUCAGAAAUAAAGAAAAGAUAUUAAAAUGGGAAACUUUCUCUUAAGACAUAUAUGUAUCCGUUUCAAUUCUCUCGUCGAUGAUCUUCUGUCUUUUAUUAUAUCACCAAACGAUUCUUUGUUUUCUUUUGUAUCGUCGUCAGACUCCUGCAAGAAUAUAUGAUACAUGUUAACACACAAAAUUCGUAACUGACAAAAUUUGGGCCCUAAUCCUAUAUAUGUAACUUGGUAAAUUUUUGAAUUGUGGGACUUUACUUCAUUAACAUAGAUGAUUGCUUGUAGCAUUCUAAAGUAUGAUUGGCUGUAGCAUUCUAAAGUAUGAUUGUUUGUAGCAUUCUAAAGUAUGAUAAAUAUUAAUUACCUUUUAAGUAGACGAUUAAGUAAUCUAGUAGUGAGGAGGAGGCGGAGAUUUGUAAAGGUAUGGGUGGUGUGGAGGUGAGUAAACUGGAGGGGGAGAGUAAUGGACCGGAGGGGGAGAGUAGUGCACCGGUGGUGGUGGGGAGUGAUAUACGACUGGAGGGGGAGAGUAAUGGACAGGAGGAGGAGAAUAGUGCACAGGUGGUGGUGGAGAGUGAUAUACAACGGGAGGAGGAGNNN
RNAcentral lists this long non-coding RNA (761 nucleotides) under Capsella grandiflora. RNAcentral's name for it is "long non-coding RNA (CGRA_LNC000106)". Lineage: Eukaryota; Viridiplantae; Streptophyta; Magnoliopsida; Brassicales; Brassicaceae. The record is from RNAcentral.